This is a transfer RNA of Camelus ferus (Wild Bactrian camel), 73 nucleotides long. It matches the Rfam family "tRNA". From Rfam's summary of the family: Transfer RNA (tRNA) molecules are approximately 80 nucleotides in length. Their secondary structure includes four short double-helical elements and three loops (D, anti-codon, and T loops). Lineage: Eukaryota; Metazoa; Chordata; Mammalia; Artiodactyla; Camelidae. The record is from Rfam.
GAAGGUAUAGCUCAAGUUGUAGAGCACAUGCUUAGCAUGCCCUAGGUCCUGGGUUCAAUCCCCAGUACCUCUU